This 87-nucleotide transfer RNA is filed under the name Subtercola boreus. RNAcentral describes it as "tRNA-Leu". It matches the Rfam family "tRNA". From Rfam's summary of the family: Transfer RNA (tRNA) molecules are approximately 80 nucleotides in length. Their secondary structure includes four short double-helical elements and three loops (D, anti-codon, and T loops). Lineage: Bacteria; Bacillati; Actinomycetota; Actinomycetes; Micrococcales; Microbacteriaceae. RNAcentral also lists the same sequence under 8 other names. The record is from RNAcentral.
GCGCGAGUGGCGGAAUUGGUAGACGCGCACGGUUCAGGUCCGUGUGUUCGUAAGGACGUGGGGGUUCAAGUCCCCCUUCGCGCACCA